GAUGAACGCUGGCGGCGUGCUUAACACAUGCAAGUCGAACGAUGAAGCCCAGCUUGCUGGGUGGAUUAGUGGCGAACGGGUGAGUAACACGUGAGUAACCUGCCCUUAACUCUGGGAUAAGCCUGGGAAACUGGGUCUAAUACCGGAUAGGAGCGUCCACCGCAUGGUGGGUGUUGGAAAGAUUUUCGGUUUUGGAUGGACUCGCGGCCUAUCAGCUUGUUGGUGGGGUAAUGGCUCACCAAGGCGACGACGGGUAGCCGGCCUGAGAGGGUGACCGGCCACACUGGGACUGAGACACGGCCCAGACUCCUACGGGAGGCAGCAGUGGGGAAUAUUGCACAAUGGGCGCAAGCCUGAUGCAGCGACGCCGCGUGAGGGAUGACGGCCUUCGGGUUGUAAACCUCUUUCAGUAGGGAAGAAGCGAAAGUGACGGUACCUGCAGAAGAAGCACCGGCUAACUACGUG
This 465-nucleotide ribosomal RNA is filed under the name uncultured bacterium. Its description in RNAcentral is "partial 16S ribosomal RNA". It matches the Rfam family "Bacterial small subunit ribosomal RNA", at positions 28 to 507 of the family's 1533-position model. The record is from RNAcentral.